CUGUGCUCUCAGGAGCACGAAGGCCUCCGUGCUCCUGAGCCGUUUUCGAUGGUGGAAUUUUCGAAUCGACGAUCGGCUCCGUUAGACUUGAUCUAGCGCAUUUGAAGUUUCUAGAAAAUAAAUUUUGUAAUUUUUUGAUACCAUUUACCUAGUGAUCGAAAGGAUUCAAAAUCCAUAAUAUUCAAUGGUUGAUAUCUGCCGUUUUUAAGUUUAACGGUGUAGAAGUAUUCAAAUCAGAUGAAACUUUGAUACAAAAUUCUUUAUACUAUCUACAACAAGAUCAAUAUUUGUGAUCGAAAAUUCUUAGUGCCUAUUCACACUUUUUAUAGGAUUUUAUUUUCAGCCGUUAAAAAUUAUUGAUUUGAAUCCUUUCGAUUGCUAGGUAAAUGAUAUCAAAAAAUUGCAAAAAUUAUUAUCUAGAAACUUCAAAUAAGCUAGAAUCAAGUUUAACGGAGCUGAUCGUCGAUUCGGAAACUUCAUCAUCAAAACGGCUCAGGAGCAAGGAGGCCUCCGUGCUCCUGAAGAUACAGCAGCCCUGCUCUUAUAUAUAAUAUAUAUAUAUUAUAUAUAAUAUAGUGUGGCUACUAAUGCUAUCAGAAGCACGGAGCCAUCGUGCUUCCAGCUCGUUUUUGAUGUUGCAACUUUCGAAUCAUCGAUCGGCUCCGUUAAACUUGAUCUAGAGUAUUGAAGUAUCUAGAAAUAAAUUUAUGAUUUUACGUAUCAUUUGCUAGUGAACGAAGGGGCUCAAAAUGAACGGCCUGAAAUAAAAAUCUUACAAAAUGUAAUAAUAUGACAUUAAAUUUUAAAUCAAAGAUAUUGAUCUUGUUUUAUAUAGUAUAAAGAAUUUUCUAUAAAAUUUCACAUGAUUAGAUAUUUCUACACCGUUAAAUUGCAAACGGCUCACUCGCGCCAUUGAAAUUUGUUGAUUUUUGAGCACAUUUGAUCACUAGGCAAAUGAUAUCGAAAAUAAUAAAUUUAUUUUCUAGUACUCCAAAUACUCUAGAUCAAGUUUACGGAGCCGAUCGACGAUUCGAAAGUCGCAACAUCGAAACGACUGGAAGCACGGAAGGCUCCGUGCUUCCGAUAGCAUAGUAGCCUCACUCUAUAAUAAUAUAUAUUAAUAUAUAUAUAUAUAUAUAUAAGAGCAGGCUGCUGUGCUCUCAGGACACGAGGCCUCAGUGCUCCUGAAUCGUCUUCGAUGAUGAAUUUUCGAAUCGCACGAUGCGCUCCGUUAGACUUGAUCUAACGAUUUGAAGUUUUUAGAAAAUAAUUUUUGCGAUUUUUCGAUAUCAUUUACCUAGUGAUCGAAAUGAUUCAAAAUCCAUAAUUUUUAAUGAUUGAUAUCUGCCGUUUUUCAAGCUCAUUACCGCGUGUGAAAGAUAUUCAAAUCAGAUGAAAUUUUGAUAGAAAAUUCUUUAUACUAUCUACAACAAGAUCUAUAUUUCUGAUCGAAAAUUUUAGUGCUAUAUCACCACUUUUUAUAGGAUUUUUAUUUUCAGCCGUUAAAAAUUAUUGAUUUUGAAUCCUUUCGAUUGCUAGGUAAAUGAUAUCGAAAAAUCGCAAAAAUUAUUUUCUAAAAACUUUAAAUACGCUAGAUCAAGUUUAACGGAACCGAUCGUCGAUUCGAAAACUCCAUCAUCGAAAACGGCUCAGGAGCACGGAGGCCUCCGUGCUCCUGAGAGCACAGCAGCCCUGCUCUAUAUAUAUAUAUAUAUAUAUAUAUAUAUAUAUAUACACUUUUUU
RNAcentral lists this long non-coding RNA (1743 nucleotides) under Ananas comosus (pineapple). RNAcentral's name for it is "long non-coding RNA (ACOM_LNC021887)". Lineage: Eukaryota; Viridiplantae; Streptophyta; Magnoliopsida; Poales; Bromeliaceae. The record is from RNAcentral.